Oreochromis niloticus (Nile tilapia) is the source of this 1492-nucleotide long non-coding RNA. RefSeq lists it as uncharacterized. NCBI's taxonomy places the organism in Eukaryota, Metazoa, Chordata, Actinopteri, Cichliformes, Cichlidae. The record is from RefSeq and is a predicted model, not a curated record. The transcript has 4 exons.
UGGGAACACAACUGAACACAACACAUGCAAGACACAGGGCUAUCAGAACAAAACAGGAAGUAACAAACACUGUUGCCAUGAACUAAGACAUAUGAACUUGGCAGAACUAAGCAGGGACACAAGACAGAAAGAAAUGUAAUCUGGCAGCAGUAUGGUGAAGCAACAAAUGAAAGAAAAAGAACAAGUUGUCCAACUUGACAGUGUGGCGGCUCGAGAGUGAAUGACAGUCUGUGACUUCAAGAAACUACAGCCGGAGCGUGAAAUGACUGCAAGCAGCCUUCCUUCAGCUUCGAAGCCAUGCACACGGGAGAUUUGCUGAUUCAUUCAUUUACCCAGCCUGCCCAAUUUGUAAACAUUAGACCUUGUAUUGUAAUAUUUCUUUCAGUUUAAUUUAUGUACUGUCAUGACUAAAAACCUGUGGUUGAAAUCUGAUCUGAAUCUUUAUUCAAGAAAACCUUUUUUCCCCAUGUACUAUUUUUUUCAUGAAGGCCAAUGUGAAAAGUUUCUGCUGGCUCUCCCUGUCUAACUUUAGAUAACAAGAAGUUAUCUACAGAGGUGUGAAAACUGCAUUCAGUACAUCUCCAAUUUUAUCUUUUAAAGUACACUAGUGUUAAUUGGCCAGAAGUUAAGUUAGGCAACAUUUGCCUUGUGCUGCUUCAGUCUCCACUGGUGAAACAAACAGCCUGUGCAGCAGCCACAUACUUACUGAAACUACAAAUUUAAGGACAGCACUCCCAUAUUUAACUCAGAGAGGUACAGAGUCAUUAACGUUGUGGUAAUUGCAGACAGCUGCAGAAGGGGAGCUUUGAGAAUACAAAACAACAGACAACAGCAGAAGAAUCUGACUACAUCGACGGGAAAACAUUUAUCAUACAAGGCGGGGGGUGGAGGGUGGGGUUGGAGGGAGUUUUCUCUCCAAUGCAGCUCCCUUCUUUUCAAUUAGAUUGUUCCUGCAUUUCCACUGGUAAAUAAUUCACAGGCAGAACCAUCAGCAGAUGGGCAUGGCUGUAUAAAUGUUUUAGUGUGUGCGUGGGGUGGGCAGUGAGUGAUGUUGGAGAUGGUUGGUGUGAGUUCUAACGAUGGAAAUAGUUUUUAGGCGUGUUUCCUGCGCUUUCAAACAUUUCCUGCUCCGCCUGUCUUCCUGUCCGUCUCGCUCGCUCUCUCUCUCUCCCUCUGAUGGACUAGAUGAGGUUCUCUUUCCAUGUUGUCCUGAAUGUAAAUGGAAGAAGUCAGCUCCAAUGCAUGUCAACUAAAGAGAGCAGAAAAAAGGCACUCACAAACAGUGGGAAUGUGGGUCGGACAUCUGUAAUAUGAGAAACAACCUGGAAGACAUAGAGUAUUGCUAUGUGUGUGUUUUAUGUUGUCGCUCAUGGGAAGCACAUUUAUUUAUUGAUAUUUUGUGUGUCAGAGACAAAUUAGUGUACAAGAUAAUUGGUGAGAUAAGUUGGGGAGCUCAAAGUAUCAAUGUUAAUUAAAGUUUUUGUGAAGUGUU